UCUUCAAUAACAUUCGCCAGGUGAUAGGAAUGAUUAGUUAUAUGAUAGUUUGCUUUACAAACACUUCUGGAAAGCUCAAAUAACUGUUCCACUUCUAACGAUGAUGCUGUUUGGGAUUCACCAGCCCACAAGAUAGUGGUGAAAUGAUGCUGAAAAUCGCAAUGACAGGAUCCAUAUUCCCAUCCUUUUGGUUGGACUUGAGCAUAUUCAUGUCCAUUUCAGCCAUCUUAUUAUCAAUGCAGAGGACGUC
Long non-coding RNA from Alosa alosa (allis shad), 250 nucleotides. RefSeq lists it as uncharacterized. NCBI's taxonomy places the organism in Eukaryota, Metazoa, Chordata, Actinopteri, Clupeiformes, Clupeidae. The transcript is spliced from 3 exons. The record is from RefSeq and is a predicted model, not a curated record.